Molecule: long non-coding RNA, 262 nt
Filed under: Hordeum vulgare
Lineage: Eukaryota; Viridiplantae; Streptophyta; Magnoliopsida; Poales; Poaceae
Description: long non-coding RNA (HVUL_LNC017986)
Source: RNAcentral
UUUUUUACGGGUUUGACCGGUUUAGGGGUCUCCUAGAUAUUCUCUUAGUUAGAGAACUAUGUCGGUGUCCUUCUCCAAGAAAAUAUGCUCAAUUAACUUUUUAAGUGUUGUAACAGGUAAGUACUUUCUUAAAACAAGUAUAGGUAGACCCGAAAAGUCCCAUUUUACAUUACGUUUGAGGAUUGAAAAGGAUUUAGCCAAGCAAGUUUGAAGUGUUCAACUCUUAUUUUUCAGAUGUUUGUAGGGAAUCCCAAAAGUGUGG